This 589-nucleotide ribosomal RNA is filed under the name Docosia muranica. RNAcentral describes it as "eukaryotic LSU rRNA". It matches the Rfam family "Eukaryotic large subunit ribosomal RNA", at positions 386 to 819 of the family's 3401-position model. Lineage: Eukaryota; Metazoa; Arthropoda; Insecta; Diptera; Mycetophilidae. The record is from RNAcentral.
GCAGAGUACGUGAAACCGCUUAGGGGUUAAGCCUGAUGAACCUGAAUAUCCGAAUUGAGAAAUUCAAUACUGUUUUAGUUGCUUAUCUAAACCAUAAGUAAUCGAUGGUAUGCACUUUUCUCAUAGUAGGACAUUGCGAUCCAUUAGUAGUCUCUUUGAGACGGUUUAUCAAACGGCCUGCGUAGUCAGUUUAGCCUAUCUGCAAUACUUGUUAUUGUAUGGUUAAUGCUAUUGCGGUGACCUGGUAAACAGCUGAUGGAGCUUAACAAUCAUGCCACCAUGCAAAUGUAUCACGGUGCGAUUAUAUUUAUAUUUUCGUAUGCAGUGAUCGCAUGUAUUUGAUUAGCAAUGCGAUAGAUUUGGGAUACCUUCAGGACCCGUCUUGAAACACGGACCAAGAAGUCUAACAUGUGUGUAAGUCAUUGGGUAUUUUGAUGAAACCUAAAGGCGAAAUUAAAAUAACUAAUAUGGGAUUACAAGCAAUCUACAAUGAUUGUUUCUCCAUCCCGGGGCGUUCUAUAUGAACAUGGUUCAAGCAAUUGGACCCUCUGUUCGAGAGCGUACCUUGAACAUACAUGCUGUGACCCGA